RNAcentral lists this ribosomal RNA (429 nucleotides) under Verrucomicrobiota bacterium. Its description in RNAcentral is "Verrucomicrobia bacterium partial 16S ribosomal RNA". It matches the Rfam family "Bacterial small subunit ribosomal RNA", at positions 355 to 776 of the family's 1533-position model. The record is from RNAcentral. Lineage: Bacteria; Pseudomonadati; Verrucomicrobiota.
UAGGGAAUCUUCCGCAAUGGACGAAAGUCUGACGGAGCAACGCCGCGUGAGUGAAGAAGGAUUUCGGUUCGUAAAACUCUGUUGUUAGGGAAGAAAAAAUGUAUAGUAACUAUAUACAAAAGAGACGGUACCUAACCAGAAAGCCACGGCUAACUACGUGCCAGCAGCCGCGGUAAUACGUAGGUGGCAAGCGUUGUCCGGAAUUAUUGGGCGUAAAGCGCGCGCAGGUGGUUUAGAAAGUCUGAUGUGAAAGCCCACGGCUCAACCGUGGAGGGUCAUUGGAAACUAAUAAACUUGAGUGCAGGAGAGAAAAGUGGAAUUCCUAGUGUAGCGGGGAAAUGCGUAGAGAUUAGGAGGAAAACCGGUGGCGAAAGCAGGUCUCUGGGCAGUAACUGACGCUGAGGAGCGAAAGCAUGGGUAGCGAACAGG